This 944-nucleotide ribosomal RNA is filed under the name Klebsiella pneumoniae. RNAcentral's name for it is "bacterial SSU rRNA". It matches the Rfam family "Bacterial small subunit ribosomal RNA", at positions 35 to 970 of the family's 1533-position model. The record is from RNAcentral. Lineage: Bacteria; Pseudomonadati; Pseudomonadota; Gammaproteobacteria; Enterobacterales; Enterobacteriaceae.
GCUGGCGGCAGGCCUAACACAUGCAAGUCGAGCGGUAGCACAGAGAGCUUGCUCUCGGGUGACGAGCGGCGGACGGGUGAGUAAUGUCUGGGAAACUGCCUGAUGGAGGGGGAUAACUACUGGAAACGGUAGCUAAUACCGCAUAAUGUCGCAAGACCAAAGUGGGGGACCUUCGGGCCUCAUGCCAUCAGAUGUGCCCAGAUGGGAUUAGCUAGUAGGUGGGGUAACGGCUCACCUAGGCGACGAUCCCUAGCUGGUCUGAGAGGAUGACCAGCCACACUGGAACUGAGACACGGUCCAGACUCCUACGGGAGGCAGCAGUGGGGAAUAUUGCACAAUGGGCGCAAGCCUGAUGCAGCCAUGCCGCGUGUGUGAAGAAGGCCUUCGGGUUGUAAAGCACUUUCAGCGGGGAGGAAGGCGGUGAGGUUAAUAACCUCAUCGAUUGACGUUACCCGCAGAAGAAGCACCGGCUAACUCCGUGCCAGCAGCCGCGGUAAUACGGAGGGUGCAAGCGUUAAUCGGAAUUACUGGGCGUAAAGCGCACGCAGGCGGUCUGUCAAGUCGGAUGUGAAAUCCCCGGGCUCAACCUGGGAACUGCAUUCGAAACUGGCAGGCUAGAGUCUUGUAGAGGGGGGUAGAAUUCCAGGUGUAGCGGUGAAAUGCGUAGAGAUCUGGAGGAAUACCGGUGGCGAAGGCGGCCCCCUGGACAAAGACUGACGCUCAGGUGCGAAAGCGUGGGGAGCAAACAGGAUUAGAUACCCUGGUAGUCCACGCCGUAAACGAUGUCGAUUUGGAGGUUGUGCCCUUGAGGCGUGGCUUCCGGAGCUAACGCGUUAAAUCGACCGCCUGGGGAGUACGGCCGCAAGGUUAAAACUCAAAUGAAUUGACGGGGGCCCGCACAAGCGGUGGAGCAUGUGGUUUAAUUCGAUGCAACGCGAAGAACC